CCUGAGGGAAGGAGAGAGUGGCGGGCAGGAAACUCCGUGCAAGCCUGGGACCGAGGAUCAGCUUCUAAAAGAUGGUCAGCAAUUUUGUUCAACCUUUCAGCAGUUCAUGAUCAGAAGAUCUUGUGACCAGCAUCAUCAAACUGACCUAAUCAAUCUGCUAUUUUGACAUCAGCGAUGAAGGGGCUGCAGGAUCCAGAUGACAGAAGCCAGCGAUGAACACCGACCGUGGACAACAGAUGAAACAGACAGGAUAAAAACAUUGGAGGGUACGUUGUCUUCAUGGCAGGGUGCCAUUUUACAUCUCUGGUGUGGCAGAAGUACUGGAACCUUCAUAUUUUUUCUGAAUGGAAAGAUUCUGCAGAGCAGAAAAAUCAUGGAAUAAUGAACACACUGGAGAAUAUAUUGUCUGGAGCAAUCCCAUAAUGGC
This is a long non-coding RNA of Mauremys reevesii (Reeves's turtle), 427 nucleotides long. RefSeq lists it as uncharacterized. The record is from RefSeq and is a predicted model, not a curated record. The transcript has 5 exons. Lineage: Eukaryota; Metazoa; Chordata; Testudines; Geoemydidae.